UACGGGGGGGGCAAGCGUUGUUCGGAAUUACUGGGCGUAAAGGGCUCGUAGGUGGCCAACUAAGUCGGACGUGAAAUCCCUCAGCUUAACUGGGGAGCUGCGUCCGAUACUGGAUGGCUCGAGUUUGGGAGAGGGAUGCGGAAUUCCAGGUGUAGCGGUGAAAUGCGUAGAUAUCUGGAGGAACACCGGUGGCGAAGGCGGCAUCCUGGACCAACACUGACACUGAGGAGUGAAAGCCAGGGGAGCAAACGGG
This 253-nucleotide ribosomal RNA is filed under the name uncultured bacterium. RNAcentral describes it as "partial 16S ribosomal RNA". It matches the Rfam family "Bacterial small subunit ribosomal RNA", at positions 524 to 776 of the family's 1533-position model. The record is from RNAcentral.